This 407-nucleotide long non-coding RNA is filed under the name Theobroma cacao (cacao). RNAcentral's name for it is "long non-coding RNA (TCAC_LNC004996)". The record is from RNAcentral. Lineage: Eukaryota; Viridiplantae; Streptophyta; Magnoliopsida; Malvales; Malvaceae.
GGCGGUGCUGCUUUGGCAAAAUCUGCUCUAGUCUCCACCAUCGGUGUCUUUUCCUUCAUUGCUGCGAAUCCUAUCCCAGCAGACAUUGGAGUCGGAGCAGCCGGAGGAGGACCCCCAGUUCCAGUCCCUAUAGAGUGAAAGGUCCUCACUUCUUGCUCUUUCUUUUUCUUUUUCUUCUUCUUCUCUUCUGCCUUGAUCUCUUCAUCAAAAUUAUUGGUGUUGAUUUCCUGAAAUGGAGUUUCCUGGAAUUGGGUUUCUUGAAACGGGGAUUUCUCUUCAUUUUCAGGAAUGCUUGUAGGAGUAGGACGUACUGGCUCUGCGUGAUGUGAAGCACCAUCAUGCACUGCAUAAAGUUUCAAUGCAAUAUCACCUUUGACAUGAGAAAAAAGGCCAAGUUUAUCAAGCGG